ACUCCUACGGGAGGCAGCAGUGGGGAAUAUUGCACAAUGGGCGCAAGCCUGAUGCAGCAACGCCGCGUGAGCGAUGAAGGCCUUCGGGUCGUAAAGCUCUGUCCUCAAGGAAGAAUAAAUGACGGUACUUGAGGAGGAAGCCCGGCUAACUACGUGCCAGCAGCCGCGGUAAUACGUAGGGGCAAGCGUUAUCCGGAAUCACUGGGCGUAAAGGGUGCGUAGGCGGUUUUUCAAGUCAGAAGUGAAAGGCUAUGGCUCAACCAUAGUAAGCUUUUGAAACUGUUAAACUUGAGUGCAGGAGAGGAAAGUGGAAUUCCUAGUGUAGAGGUGAAAUUCGUAGAUAUUAGGAGGAACACCAGUGGCGAAGCGACUUUCUGGACUGUAACUGACGCUGAGGCACGAAAGCGUGGGA
This 412-nucleotide ribosomal RNA is filed under the name uncultured bacterium. RNAcentral's name for it is "bacterial SSU rRNA". It matches the Rfam family "Bacterial small subunit ribosomal RNA", at positions 335 to 766 of the family's 1533-position model. The record is from RNAcentral.